Molecule: unclassified non-coding RNA, 253 nt
Filed under: uncultured Caryophanales bacterium
Lineage: Bacteria; Bacillati; Bacillota; Bacilli; Caryophanales
Description: uncultured Bacillales bacterium contains 16S-23S intergenic spacer region
Rfam family: Bacterial small subunit ribosomal RNA
Source: RNAcentral
UACGUAGGGGGCAAGCGUUGUCCGGAAUUAUUGGGCGUAAAGCGCGCGCAGGCGGUCCUUUAAGUCUGAUGUGAAAUCUUGCGGCUUAACCGCAAGCGGUCAUUGGAAACUGGAGGGCUUGAGUACAGAAGAGGAGAGCGGAAUUCCACGUGUAGCGGUGAAAUGCGUAGAUAUGUGGAGGAACACCAGUGGCGAAGGCGACUCUUUGGCCUGCAACUGACGCUGAGGUGCGAAAGCGUGGGGAUCAAACAGG